Molecule: long non-coding RNA, 384 nt
Organism: Ziziphus jujuba (common jujube)
Lineage: Eukaryota; Viridiplantae; Streptophyta; Magnoliopsida; Rosales; Rhamnaceae
Exons: 3
Source: RefSeq, a predicted model, not a curated record
GCCAAAGUGCUUGGUUGGCAUUAUUUUUUAUGGUUACCCUUCUUAUUCUAGAAUGUAUGCAGAAGAAACAAGUUACUACUUUUUCUCUAGGUGAUUGAUGAAAUAGAUGGAGCUCUUGGUGAUGGCAAAGGUGCUGUGGAGGUUAUUCUAAAGAUGGUUUCUGCAGAUAAGAAGUCUGAUACAGGGAAGGAGAAUUUUCCAAAUGAAGAAAAUCAUGAAAGUACAUAGAAAGUUUAUCAUUCAUAUGGAGUUUCCUUUUCAUGAUUCCCUGGAAAAUGGGUUCAUAUAUUUGUUCAACCAACAAUUAAUCGUGUUGUCAGCAGGUGAUCCUUGACUACCAUGGCUGAUGUUUAAUUGCUGUGACAAUUUCAAGCCUUUCCAUUU